RNAcentral lists this long non-coding RNA (398 nucleotides) under Sus scrofa (pig). Its description in RNAcentral is "lncRNA (ENSSSCG00050035278.1)". Lineage: Eukaryota; Metazoa; Chordata; Mammalia; Artiodactyla; Suidae. The record is from RNAcentral.
GACCAUGCUUGUAUACUGAUUAGAUUGGAGAAGAGAGAAAUAGAAGGAAUGAUUCAUGAAGCAGGAUGUCUAAGAAGAUGGAAAAAAAUGGGAUGGAUGCAAGGUGCAAACUCCACAAUAGCAAAGACUACGACAGUUUUGCUAAGAAAUUCUGUAUCUUAGAAGAUCCUCAAGAAAUAUUUUGAGUAAAUAAAGAGACUGGAUAUAGUUCCCUGUGGUGUAUAGUAGGAUAAAGACUACAUUUCCGAGGGUAAGUGAAACAAAAAACAAUUUGCUCCCUUUCUCAAGCACAGUAGUGUGACAUAAUAAGAAAUACAUAUGUGGUCUCUGCCCCUGAUUCCUGGCACAGAGUUCCUAAAACCCUUGUAAUUGCUUGAGUGAAGAGGUGCUAGGAGCAU